Molecule: ribosomal RNA, 329 nt
Filed under: uncultured bacterium
Lineage: Bacteria
Description: bacterial SSU rRNA
Rfam family: Bacterial small subunit ribosomal RNA
Source: RNAcentral
GAUGAACGCUGGCGGCGUGCUUAAUACAUGCAAGUCGAGCGAAGCACUUUAACGGAAUUCUCCGGAAGGAAGGUAAAGUGACUGAGCGGGCGUACGGGUGAAGGUAACGCGUAGGUUAACCGUGCCUUAUACAGGGGGAUAACAGUUAGAAAUGACUGCUAAUACCGCAUAAGACCACAGCACCGCAUGGUGCAGGGGUAAAAACUCCGGUGGUAUGAGAUGGAUCCGCGUCUGAUUAGCUAGUUGGUAAGGUAACGGCUUACCAAGGCAACGAUCAGUAGCCGACCUGAGAGGUUGAACGGCCACAUUGGGACUGAGACACGGCCCAG